UGUCCUUUUUACCUCCAAAAAC
RNAcentral lists this small nuclear RNA (22 nucleotides) under Arabidopsis thaliana (thale cress). RNAcentral describes it as "snRNA_03929". The record is from RNAcentral. Lineage: Eukaryota; Viridiplantae; Streptophyta; Magnoliopsida; Brassicales; Brassicaceae.